CCGAGUUAUACAACUCCUCAACCCCUGUGAACAUACCUAAAUCGUUGCCUCGGCGGGACCCCCGCCCCGGCCCUGUACCCAGGGCGCCCCGCCAGGAGGACCCCUAACUCCUGUUAUUCACGUGUAUCUUCUGAGGACAACAAGCAAAUAAAUCA
RNAcentral lists this unclassified non-coding RNA (155 nucleotides) under soil metagenome. RNAcentral describes it as "partial internal transcribed spacer 1". The record is from RNAcentral.